Magnolia sinica is the source of this 357-nucleotide long non-coding RNA. RefSeq lists it as uncharacterized. NCBI's taxonomy places the organism in Eukaryota, Viridiplantae, Streptophyta, Magnoliopsida, Magnoliales, Magnoliaceae. The record is from RefSeq and is a predicted model, not a curated record. The transcript has 4 exons.
CUAAUCCGCGUUACAUGUAAAGUCAUUUCUCAAAACUUUUCCGUCUCAUUUCACUUUCUUUUCAGAACAGCAGCGCAAGCAGAGCAGAGAGAUGAAUCCUCUUCUCCUUUCUUCGAUCCCUUCUUAGAGCUCUGUUGUUAUUCUAGUCUCGUUCUUGAGCUAUUUAGGUAUCAUUGGAUCUAUUCUGCCUGGCAAGAUCGUCCAUGGCGCCACUCUAUCUGAUGGCGCCAGUCUCUGCUACCGCUGCAACGGUCUGUUGUCACUUCUUCUGUUGGUUACUCUUUUAGGAAUUGGUGUUAACACAAAGCUAAUAUCACCCACGGUAGUUGUAGAUAAAGGACUUGAGCUGCUCUCUGC